This 643-nucleotide ribosomal RNA is filed under the name uncultured bacterium. RNAcentral's name for it is "bacterial SSU rRNA". It matches the Rfam family "Bacterial small subunit ribosomal RNA", at positions 232 to 885 of the family's 1533-position model. The record is from RNAcentral.
CGCGGCCUAUCAGCUUGUUGGCGGGGUAACGGCCCACCAAGGCGACGACGGGUAGCCGGCCUGAGAGGGUGACCGGCCACACUGGGACUGAGACACGGCCCAGACUCCUACGGGAGGCAGCAGUGGGGAAUAUUGCACAAUGGGCGAAAGCCUGAUGCAGCGACGCCGCGUGAGGGAUGACGGCCUUCGGGUUGUAAACCUCUUUCAGUAGGGAAGAAGCGAAAGUGACGGUACCUGCAGAAGAAGCGCCGGCUAACUACGUGCCAGCAGCCGCGGUAAUACGUAGGGCGCAAGCGUUAUCCGGAAUUAUUGGGCGUAAAGAGCUCGUAGGCGGUUUGUCGCGUCUGCCGUGAAAGUCCGGGGCUCAACCCCGGAUCUGCGGUGGGUACGGGCAGACUAGAGUGAUGUAGGGGAGACUGGAAUUCCUGGUGUAGCGGUGAAAUGCGCAGAUAUCAGGAGGAACACCGAUGGCGAAGGCAGGUCUCUGGGCAUUAACUGACGCUGAGGAGCGAAAGCAUGGGGAGCGAACAGGAUUAGAUACCCUGGUAGUCCAUGCCGUAAACGUUGGGCACUAGGUGUGGGGGACAUUCCACGUUUUCCGCGCCGUAGCUAACGCAUUAAGUGCCCCGCCUGGGGAGUACGG